This 487-nucleotide ribosomal RNA is filed under the name uncultured bacterium. RNAcentral's name for it is "bacterial SSU rRNA". It matches the Rfam family "Bacterial small subunit ribosomal RNA", at positions 501 to 987 of the family's 1533-position model. The record is from RNAcentral.
CUACGUGCCAGCAGCCGCGGUAAUACGUAGGGUGCGAGCGUUAAUCGGAAUUACUGGGCGUAAAGCGGGCGCAGACGGUUACUUAAGCAGGAUGUGAAAUCCCCGGGCUCAACCUGGGAAUUGCGUUCUGAACUGGGUGGCUAGAGUGUGUCAGAGGGGGGUAAAAUUCCACGUGUAGCAGUGAAAUGCGUAGAGAUGUGGAGGAAUACCGAUGGCGAAGGCAGCCCCCUGGGAUGGCACUGACGUUCAUGCCCGAAAGCGUGGGUAGCAAACAGGAUUAGAUACCCUGGUAGUCCACGCCCUAAACGAUGUCGAUUAGCUGUUGGGCAACUUGAUUGCUUGGUAGCGAAGCUAACGCGUGAAAUCGACCGCCUGGGGAGUACGGUCGCAAGAUUAAAACUCAAAGGAAUUGACGGGGACCCGCACAAGCGGUGGAUGAUGUGGAUUAAUUCGAUGCAACGCGAAGAACCUUACCUGGUCUUGACAU